RNAcentral lists this ribosomal RNA (250 nucleotides) under uncultured bacterium. RNAcentral's name for it is "partial 16S ribosomal RNA". It matches the Rfam family "Bacterial small subunit ribosomal RNA", at positions 524 to 776 of the family's 1533-position model. The record is from RNAcentral.
UACGGGGGGAGCAAGCGUUGUUCGGAUUUACUGGGCGUAAAGGCGCGUAGGCGGCGUGACAAGUCACUUGUGAAAUCUCCGGGCUUAACUCGGAACGGUCAAGUGAUACUGUCGUGCUAGAGUACAGAAGGGGCAACUGGAAUUCUCGGUGUAGCGUGAAAUGCGUAGAUAUCGAGAGGAACACCUGCGGCGAAGCGGGUUGCUGGGCUGAUACUGACGCUGAGGCGCGAAAGCUAGGGGAGCGAACGGG